GAGACCCACGCCAACAGUUGCCAGCAUGUCCUCCGGGAUGGUGGGGACACUGUUGGGACCGCCUCUGCUAAAGAGGAGGAAGGAAUGGGCAACGGUAGGUCAGCAUGCCCCGAAUUAUCCGGGCUACACGCGGGCUACAAUGGUCAGGACAAUGGGUAUCGACACCGAGAGGUGAAGGCAAUCUCUUAAACCUGUCUUUAGUUCGGAUUGUGGGCUGCAACUCGCCCACAUGAAGCUGGAAUCCGUAGUAAUCGCGUCUCAAAAUGGCGCGGUGAAUAU
Molecule: ribosomal RNA, 279 nt
Filed under: uncultured archaeon
Lineage: Archaea
Description: partial 16S rRNA
Rfam family: Archaeal small subunit ribosomal RNA
Source: RNAcentral